This 253-nucleotide ribosomal RNA is filed under the name uncultured bacterium. Its description in RNAcentral is "partial 16S ribosomal RNA". It matches the Rfam family "Bacterial small subunit ribosomal RNA", at positions 524 to 776 of the family's 1533-position model. The record is from RNAcentral.
UACGUAGGGUGCGAGCGUUAAUCGGAAUUACUGGGCGUAAAGCGUGCGCAGGCGGUUUACUAAGACAGGGGUGAAAUCCCCGGGCUUAACCUGGGAAUGGCGCUUGUGACUGGUAGGCUAGAGUACGUCAGAGGGGGGUGGAAUUCCACGUGUAGCAGUGAAAUGCGUAGAGAUGUGGAGGAACACCGAUGGCGAAGGCAGCCCCCUGGGAUGAUACUGACGCUCAGGCACGAAAGCGUGGGGAGCAAACAGG